RNAcentral lists this small nucleolar RNA (118 nucleotides) under Caenorhabditis elegans. RNAcentral describes it as "partial CeN85 snoRNA". Lineage: Eukaryota; Metazoa; Nematoda; Chromadorea; Rhabditida; Rhabditidae. The record is from RNAcentral.
ACGCACAACUUAAGAACUUGCGAAAUCUACACAUUCUUGGCUCUCCUUAGCUGCGUUUUGCAGUUCAGAUUCUGCCAAGUUUUGUGUUCAUGGUUACGCGAGUGUCAUAUUUGUGCUA